Molecule: long non-coding RNA, 2555 nt
Organism: Numida meleagris (helmeted guineafowl)
Lineage: Eukaryota; Metazoa; Chordata; Aves; Galliformes; Numididae
Exons: 3
Source: RefSeq, a predicted model, not a curated record
AUCUGAGCUGUUUCACAUAGCUGUGCAACAAAAGAGUGAGAAAAUCAUCUGGAAAACACAUGCAAGAUAGAGGCAGGGCUUCGAACUGACUGUGCAAGGUCGGAUUAAAAGAAUCUCAUGGAGCAGCUCUGCGAAGGGAAGCUGGCUUGUUUCACUUUGUGACGUGUCAGGAGGAUGCAAAUGACAGACCAUACUCAGGCUGAGCACAAAGCCUGGGCAAAGCAUAAAAUAGCCUUUGCUAAAGUGCCCCCUGGAUCUCAGAGUCCUAGAGAGUGAAGAAGGGAAUGGAGUUUUGGCCACCAAUGAGGACAGCAGAUUGUGCCUUACUGCAUGCCCACCGCAGCCCACGUGAGCACACAGAGCUCUCAGUUUUGUUCAGAAACUGCGAUGAGGCCAAUGGAUCAGCUGUCAAACUAUUGCUUCCUGCUGCAAGCACCAUUAAAAAUUGAUUGUCUUGAGCUAAGAUGAUUUUGUUUGAGGCCAUGUGCAGAUGCAGUGGAAGAAUAAAUGCAGCCUACAAUAGCACUGGGAAAAGAGCUUAUAAGAGUCUAUUUCUGUUGCAUUCCUCUUAAUUUGCUCACAAAGGGCACAAAAGAAGUGAAAGAAGCCAAAUGGGAAGAGAUGUGAAAGGUAAAGCAAUAUGAGAGUCCUGAAAAGAUGGGAAAAAACUUUGACCGUACUGGACUGACUCGAGAUGUUUGUCCACGUGCAUGAUAAUGAACUCCUCUCUUCCAUGAGUAACACAGUUGUAAUCAAUAAAGAUACUCAUAUGAGUAAAACACAAAAUAUUAAGCUCUCAGGCAGACGUUAAUCUAUCAGUAGGGGCAGCAAUGUGUGUGCUCAAUCUCUCUUUUGGGUAAAUGAGUGAUAGUCAGAUCUGCAGCAAAUUAUGGAUGCAAGAUGAAAUCUUUGUGUGACUAAAAGUGUGGAUCUGGAAUGGCGGAACCCAGAGGCUUCAUGAGAGGUGCAAGGCAAGAUGAACAUCAGCAUGUUGUGAUACUCUAUUCUGUAGAAAACACUGAGGAAUUGGGAAUAGGAGAAAUUCAUUCCACUCAAAAUCCUAGAGUAUAUAAUAUACAGGCUUGUUGUCAGCUCAUUCAUGCAUUCUGUGGAGUGCAAGAUUUAUGUUCACUGUCACAGCUGUAUACUUUUGUUUACCCAUGAGACACACAAAACAAGCUUGGGACCACAGCUGGAAAUCAGUAAUGGAGGUACUCCUCCCAAGACAAAGACAAUCACAUGCAAACUGACAUUAAUUAUCAUUAUUCUGAUUAGAUUAAGUUAUCAAAAAAUGAUUAGAAAUACCUGGUUUCAAAUCUAUGGUAAAAUAUCCAAGAGCAGCAGUGAGCAUCAGCCCUGGAAUACAGUGGACAAAACUGCUAGGUUUUCCAGAUAUUGAAACAGGAGAACUUUCAGCCUGAAGUGGAUGUGGGGUUGUCGGAGCUUCUGAGUGUUAGGAGAAAACCAUAAACCUUUCCCAGUUUGUUGCUGACGUACUCUGAAUGCUCUUGAGGAUUUCUUUAUUCCAAAUUUCAUUUCCACUCCUUCUUCUCAUCUGACAUCUAUUUUGUUACCCAUACAGGUGGAAUUCUCUGUGAAAUUCAUGUGUUUCUGUCAGCACACCCAAAGAAGGCAGCGCAAACAAUAAAUAUGAAUGGUAGGCCCAGAAAGAUCAUUAAUAUAAUACCCAUUUCUUCCCCUGUUCUAAGUGUUUUGACCUUUCCCAAAGGAAAGGAAAUACAUUCUGAGUAAAUAAAAAAAACAUCUUGCAAACAGCUUCACAUGAAUUCCCUUCCUGAUAUCAUCACAACCUUCGUAAUCAGAUAUUGGUAAUCUUAUAAGCUAGUGAUUACACAGAUUCCCUACAUUUGAACAGAGUCACCCAGUUCCUCAGGGAAAGGUAUGUAGAUUGAGAGGAACAAUACCCUUUUGCCAGCAGAACUGGCAGUCCUGUCAGCAUUUCGGAAAUGAAUUACUCUUGAUUACCCACUCAUUUCCAGAGGUGAGAUUUUCAUGUCAGCAAUGAGGCACAUCUCGUGUGAGGACUGAUUUUCCAAUCCUGAAGAAUCAGAAAGUUUCAGUCUCCCGGUCUGUCAGACAAAGAUGUUCCACACACUGAGUUACUGUUUCACUCUGUCAGUCUUACUGAAGAAUCCUUGGACGUUACACUUCAAAGCGUGCAAAGCAAAAGUAGGAAGGAUAAAGGGAAGAAGAUGCUAUAAGAGUAUUUGUAAACUCUAAAAUAGUUCUAUGGUGCUGAAUAUUCUGCUGUGAUGUGGGAUACACAGACCCAAACUCUUACCCAGAGACAAAUCAAAGACUUAGAAGUUGGAAUUCAGCACCUCAGAUUCUUGGUUUUCUCUCUUAAACGAGGGAGCUAGCCAAAUCAUCAUUCUUCAGAAGGAAAUAGCGGAUCUACAAGCCAGCCAGUGGUCAGCCAUUCAUCUUCCAUUCUGUCACAGGGAACAAGAAAUAAAGAAGGGACUUUCUUGAGCAAAAUGUUCAGUUUAAUGAAUACAAUUUCCUUUUAUGACAAAGUUACCCAAAGGGAAGCC